ACCUUUCCCACCUAUGUAUUUUGGUAGUACGGAUAUUUUUCUAAAAUUAUUUGAGCAAUUUUGGUUCUUAUUCAUUUCAAAUUUAUGCUUUUCAAUCAAAGAGAAAAUAUACAAUAAUAUGCCUUGAUUUUUGUCGACUCAGUAUUCAAUGAAAGCCAUAUAUAAUAGGCGAAAUGCAUACGAUCCCUUCAAGUUGUCCUCAACGGUCAGCCAGACACCUCAACUGACCUCAUUUUCAGUUGGACAUCUCAAGCCUUCAAUAAAGCAGGUCAAUUAAACACCCGACCUCAUCAGCCCACUCGCGUGAAAUAAACUCUCAGAUUCAUGUCAAACGAACAAAUGAGAAAAUGUCAUGUGUAAUCUUAAUUAAAAAUUUUGCCACCUAUUAUAAAACAAAACAAAAACAAUAAUAAUAAGUAAACCCUAGAGACCUAGACCCUUCCCAGCCGCCCCCUCUUCUUCUUCAAUCAAGAGCAGACCCUAAUCCCCCGAAGAAUUCCAAUCGUCCAAUCUCCUCUCCAAGGCGCCGCUGCAUUUUUUCAAAUGACUCUUUCCUCCUCGAAGUGCCUUCAUCCAUUUCCAAACAGCCACUGAUGCCGGUAAUAGCCAUGGACGCCGGCAACAGUUAUGACCGCCAACAACAAUCAUGAACCAGUUCUUGUUUAUUAUCCAUGUUACUGCAAAAUUUCGAAUUUCUGGGGUAUGUUGUUUUUGCUUUUGGGUCGGGUAUUAGAGAGAGAGGUCAAAAAAUUCAUUUUUCCACGGAUAUAAGCUCAAGAAUUUCUAAGAGGUCAUCAUCUUAAUUCAUUUCAACUUCACAUCCUUGGACGAGUCUUUGGUCAUAAUGAUGGUAUGCAUAAACCACACCAACACUUGAAAUGUUAUCAGAACUUAACCUACUGCCUUUCACCAAAGACAUUAACUUAUCUCCUGUAACCUUAAUAUGUGUCCCCUAAUUUUUUGGCAAAACCUUAUUCAAUAUUUGCCUCUUGAGAUUGCAGCUGAAGGGAAUGGGUGAAAAUAACUUUUGUAGUGAAUAGCUUCACUCGUCAACCCCACUUGUUUGAGAUUUAGGGAUCGUUUGGCAGGAUGCAUUAGAUAAAUAAUAUAUGCAUUAGCUUUGUGAAUUAAUAAUAUUUUAUUUGGUAU
Molecule: long non-coding RNA, 1149 nt
Filed under: Nicotiana benthamiana
Lineage: Eukaryota; Viridiplantae; Streptophyta; Magnoliopsida; Solanales; Solanaceae
Description: long non-coding RNA (NBEN_LNC034920)
Source: RNAcentral